GUGGGGGUGAGAGAGAAUAGGGAGGGGUGUCAGGUGCUGGGAGGGGAUGUGCUUUAAUUGAAAGUUUACCUUGGAGUGUGCCCUGCUGGAGGGUCUGCAGAAUCAAUAGGCAGCCACCACAGGACUGGGUCAACACUCCAAAAGGAGCCUUGGAGUCCAGUGUCUGGAAGGCCAUCACACUGCUCACCUAUAACCCAUCACACCUCUGACAGUCCUCAGACCUGGAAAAAGACGAGGGCACUCAAGGUCAGGAUUGUGUUUCACUUUGGGGUCAAGUUCACGUUCAAGGUCAAGUUCAGGCCAGAGUUUAAGACAGAAGUCAAAACUUGAGUUCAAAGUCAAGUUCAGGCUUAGUUUAAGGCCAAGUUAAACAUCAAGCUUAGGCUCCAAUUCCAGGUCAAAAGUCAAGGUGAAUCUCAGUGUCAAGUCCAUGGUCAAGUUCAAGGGGAAGGUAAAGUUCAAACUCAGAUUUGAAUUAAGAUUAGGGUCAGUUUUGGGAUUCAAGUUUGGAUUCUGCUAUCUAGAGUCCUCAGGAUCCUGCAGCUCCCUGAGGCCUAUUUGAGGAGGGUUGGGUGGAUAUAAAAUAGGAAUUUGGGGAUACAGAAAAAGAAAGAUAUGCUGAAUCUCAAUAGAAAAGCACCCAUUACCUUGGAAAUGCAGGAGAUGCCCAUGAGCCUUUAGAAUGCAAAACAAGCGACUCCUGCAGCCCAGACCAGGGCCUUAGCCCUUGUCCUUGCCUGCCAAAAAGUAAUUCUCGUCCAAUCCCCAAUUGCUGCUAACCCCAAUCCAAGGGGUUGCUGUCUUUCUCUGGAGAUGUCCUGAACUCCCUCUCAAAUGUGUAUUCCUUGCUUUACCCCAAAGCUUUCCCCUCUCAAGACGGCCUGUAUUCUCCCUUGAAUGUGCAUCUGCUUCCCUAAAUAAAUCUCUGUGUCUCUGACUAGUGUCGGCUAAAAUUCUUUCCCAUCAGGUACACCAAGGACCCC
This 983-nucleotide long non-coding RNA is filed under the name Marmota monax (woodchuck). Lineage: Eukaryota; Metazoa; Chordata; Mammalia; Rodentia; Sciuridae. The record is from RNAcentral.